Molecule: long non-coding RNA, 410 nt
Filed under: Nicotiana benthamiana
Lineage: Eukaryota; Viridiplantae; Streptophyta; Magnoliopsida; Solanales; Solanaceae
Description: long non-coding RNA (NBEN_LNC033824)
Source: RNAcentral
UCGAUCCUUGAUGGAGUCCCAUAACCACUGGAAAAUGGUUUGAGUCGCCACCCACCGUCCUAACCCUAGUCUUAGCUCUAUCGUACAUGUCCUUGAUUACUAUGAUGUAGGCUUCCGGCUUGCUCUUCACCUCCAAGCACCUCCCUUGGGACCUUGUCAUACGCCUUCUCCAAGUCGAUAAGCACCAUGUGCAGGUCCUUCUUCUUAUCCCUGAACUGCUCCACCAGCCGCCUGACAAGGUGGAUAGCUUCUGUAGUGGAGCGACCCAGCAUGAAACCGAACCGGUUCAUAGAUAUAGAUGUCAUAUCCCUCACCUCGCCUUGAUCACCCGCUCCCAGACCUUAAUGGUGUGACUUAUUAAUUUGAUACCCCUAUAGUUAUUGCAGCACUGGAUGUCCCCUUUGUUCNNN